RNAcentral lists this long non-coding RNA (407 nucleotides) under Ananas comosus (pineapple). RNAcentral's name for it is "long non-coding RNA (ACOM_LNC036622)". Lineage: Eukaryota; Viridiplantae; Streptophyta; Magnoliopsida; Poales; Bromeliaceae. The record is from RNAcentral.
CUUUUUAUUGAAUUAGGGAACAUAUGAGGUAUACCACUUAUUCUCUCGAUGUGUGUUUUUGUACCUAAGUUUGCUUUCCAAUUUUAUCUUGUCUGUCUUUUUUUUUUUUUUUCUCUCUCUGAGGUCCUGGCUGUCUCACUCUAUGUAGCUAAAUUCAUCUUCCUAUUGAAUGAAGCAGAUAGCGUGCUAUCUUUUUUCUCAAAAAAAGUAUUACAAACUUCUUUACAAUAGACUAUACCUGAGCUUCUAGUUCACAAUAUGCCCAAAUGUGUCAUGAGUUAAAAAUAAAUCUAAAAUCAGAAUCAAAAUUAAAAUGAAAAAACCUUGAUGAUUAAUAUAUGUAGUUCCAUGUUUGAAACCGAGUUAUUUUAUGUAUCCAGUUAAGUUUAUUUUAAAAAAUAAAUAAA